AGGCAGCAGUGGGGAAUAUUGCACAAUCGGGGGAAACCCUGAUGCAGCCAUGCCGCGUGUGUGAAGAAGGCCUUCGGGUUGUAAAGCACUUUCAGUAGGGAGGAAGGUAGUGUAGUUAACACCUGCAUUAUUUGACGUUACCUACAGAAGAAGCACCGGCUAACUCCGUGCCAGCAGCCGCGGUAAUACGGAGGGUGCGAGCGUUAAUCGGAAUUACUGGGCGUAAAGCGCAUGCAGGCGGCCUGUUAAGUCAGAUGUGAAAGACCCGGGGCUUAACCUCGGAAUUGCAUUUGAAACUGGCAGGCUAGAGUCUUGUAGAGGGGGGUAGGAAUUUCAGGUGUAGCGGUGAAAUGCGUAGAGAUCUGAAGGAAUACCAGUGGCGAAGGCGGCCCCCUGGACAAAGACUGACGCUCAGAUGCGAAAGCGUGGGGAGCAAACAGGAUUAGAUACCCUGGUAG
This 458-nucleotide ribosomal RNA is filed under the name uncultured bacterium. RNAcentral's name for it is "bacterial SSU rRNA". It matches the Rfam family "Bacterial small subunit ribosomal RNA", at positions 346 to 793 of the family's 1533-position model. The record is from RNAcentral.